Molecule: long non-coding RNA, 446 nt
Organism: Halichondria panicea
Lineage: Eukaryota; Metazoa; Porifera; Demospongiae; Suberitida; Halichondriidae
Exons: 3
Source: RefSeq, a predicted model, not a curated record
CAAUAAUAAUACCUAUAUUUAUACUUCGCAGCUGCAGCUUGUAGCCUAUACUACUAAGAUACUACUAGGAGACUACACUAUAGAGUGUCUAAAAUAAGGAGGGACCAGGAGUUAUUUAAAAGCUGAAAGAGGAUUGUUUCAUGACCAGACUCGACUGGAGUAAAGCAAGUGUUUUUCUAGGCAUUGACGGAAAAAGGCUAUGGUAUGACUUUGACGAGCUGUAUAUAGUUCCAACCCAGUGGACAGGCUUCAGCACCUUGUUCAUGUUCACACCCAACUGUACUUCGGCACUCAACUUGAUAUGGCAUGGCUCCAUCCUGAAAUUUCAUCACCGAAGACGAUUGCCAAAAAGGCCGUACCUGCCUCUGUUGUAGCUUCUAACACUUUAUAACGAAGAAGCAGACAAUGGUACUAUUAAUUUGCUGCAACAAUACUCUGUACUCAUG